Molecule: long non-coding RNA, 586 nt
Organism: Suricata suricatta (meerkat)
Lineage: Eukaryota; Metazoa; Chordata; Mammalia; Carnivora; Herpestidae
Exons: 2
Source: RefSeq, a predicted model, not a curated record
GCGAAUGGUUGGGUUUCCUUGACCUAAACUUGUGCAAACGCUCAGUCACAGACUUGAGCAAAUGAGCAAUGGCUCGUUGGAAAGAAAGGAUGACGUAAGAGCCUUCCACGAGUAAUGAGUAAUUAGGGACAAUGGAUAACAUUGUGCCGUGUGGGUAGUAAGAAUUCCAUCAUGGAGAUUAUUUGAGACUUCUUGCCUGGGAAGAUGGGGGCUGGGCCAGGAUCUAGACCAGCUGGAUGAACUUAGGGAGGCAUCACUUCCUCCACCCUGCACAUCGAUCCUAGAGAAGCCGCACCUGCUCCCACAGCCCUGGUCGCCGGCGGUGGGCGGUGGCCCCUGGCCCCAGGGUGGCUGCCAACCUCAGCUGGUCAAUCGGGUUUUAUUCAUCUAGAAUCUGCGGCUGAGACCUAGACACCAGCCCCUGCUGUGCUUGAACUGAGAAGACCCGAAGAGCUGGGCUGGAGGCAGCCAGGAGCCCUUCCAAAGCUAGCUCUUGAUGGAGCAAUGGAGCUGUCCCGGGUUCCACAACAGGAGCCUCAAUGUUGUCCUCUGUGGAAUGAGGCUAAUAAAGAUGUUGGAAGGAUAA